This 587-nucleotide ribosomal RNA is filed under the name uncultured bacterium. RNAcentral describes it as "bacterial SSU rRNA". It matches the Rfam family "Bacterial small subunit ribosomal RNA", at positions 338 to 916 of the family's 1533-position model. The record is from RNAcentral.
CCUACGGGAGGCAGCAGUGGGGAAUUUUGGACAAUGGGCGAAAGCCUGAUCCAGCAAUGCCGCGUGAGUGAAGAAGGCCUUCGGGUUGUAAAGCUCUUUUGUCAGGGAAGAAACGGUGAAAGCUAAUAUCUUUUGCUAAUGACGGUACCUGAAGAAUAAGCACCGGCUAACUACGUGCCAGCAGCCGCGGUAAUACGUAGGGUGCAAGCGUUUAAUCGGAAUUACUGGGCGUAAAGCGUGCGCAGGCGGUUUUGUAAGUCUGAUGUGAAAUCCCCGGGCUCAACCUGGGAAUUGCAUUGGAGACUGCAAGGCUAGAAUCUGGCAGAGGGGGGUAGAAUUCCACGUGUAGCAGUGAAAUGCGUAGAUAUGUGGAGGAACACCGAUGGCGAAGGCAGCCCCCUGGGUCAAGAUUGACGCUCAUGCACGAAAGCGUGGGGAGCAAACAGGAUUAGAUACCCUGGUAGUCCACGCCCUAAACGAUGUCUACUAGUUGUCGGGUCUUAAUUGACUUGGUAACGCAGCUAACGCGUGAAGUAGACCGCCUGGGGAGUACGGUCGCAAGAUUAAAACUCAAAUUGAAUUGACGG